Rattus norvegicus (Norway rat) is the source of this 4750-nucleotide non-coding RNA. The record is from RefSeq and is a predicted model, not a curated record. Lineage: Eukaryota; Metazoa; Chordata; Mammalia; Rodentia; Muridae.
CCCUACUAAGGACUCUGAGCUAUCCCAAGGAUCAUGUACAUCUUCCUUUUUUUAUACAAAGAUAGAAGGCCAGCUUCCUUCUCCACAUCACUGAAAUCUUUAUCCUCUUUGUUCUCCCUCCCAUAUGGCUGUUUACCGUGAAUUAGAGGUCAAUUAUUAAACCCUAGAGGUACUUCAAGAAUAUCAGAGAGGCAGUUGCAGCCACAACAACACUUGUGAUGUCACAGAAGCAGCUAGGGAGUCCAGGUUACAAGAGAUACUUGCAGUAGGGCCAAAUCAUGAUGUCACUGUGAACUGCCAUGUCCUACCUGCUAAACAGAUUUCCCUACAUUGACCAGAUUUUGAGUGCCCUUUCCAGGAACUGUAAGAGCAGGAAGUCCAGAUGCUUCUGAGAGGACCCCAGCUUCUAAUUCCCAUUUGUAGACGGCUCAGAUCAAGACAAUCUCUUCAUGAAACAACUCAACACCUACUAAGGACUCAGAGAGCUUUCCCAAGGACCUUUUUUGUACCAAGACAGAAGGUCAGCUUUCAUCUCCCCAUCUCUGAUAUCUUCAUCCUAUUUGUCCUCCCUCCCAAAUGGCUCUUUACACUGAAUUAUAGGCCAAUUAGUAAACCAUAGAUAUAUGGAAUGAAUAUCUGAGAGGCAGUUGCUGUCAGGACAACACUUGUGACAACAUAGAAGAAGAUAGGGCUCUCAAGGAUACAAGAGAUAUAUUACGGGGGUACUAAGGAUGAUGUCACUGAGAACUGCCAUGGACUACCUGCUAAACAGAUUUCCUUACAUUGACCAGAUUUGACGGUGCCCUUUCUAGGAGAGUCUCCUAUGACACAGUGGAAACCUUUUGUACUCCAUCUCUCUAACGCUAGAGACUUCUCUUUGCUGCAUUAGUGUUUACAUGGUCUGAAUGGACAAAAUUAAUCGGGACUUGGCAUGGGUAGAAAAGAUCUAGGAAGAUGGAGUGGAGGAGAUUCUUCUUGAUAAUAAUUUUGCUCCCUGGUCCAUUCCUGUGACAUACAGUUCAAUUUCCUAGUUUUUCUCUGUUUCCCAAAGGCCAUUAUUUUCCAUACAGACCUUUAAUUGAGUGAAUAUUGUAUUUCAUUUUCUAAUUCUUCAUUCCUAGAUAGGGCACUUUGUAUUCAUUCCUGAAAGUGUACUCAAAAAUUCUCUUUUACAAUUGCAUUUUUGUAAUGAUUUUGGCAAAAAAGAGGGCCGAAGUAUAGAGUGCAGAGAACAGUGUAAAUAUUUUGUACCUACUUCAAAUGAUAAACUCCAAAUUCUUAUUUUAUCCAAAAAUUAUCAUACAUCAGUAAAUCAAAGACAACAUGUACUAUACAAUUCGUUUCUCUAUUCCCAUUUGAUAUCAUUUCUGCAAUAUCUUCCUUCUUGUGUUCCCAUGGCCACACUUGAGGUUUUUGGAUAUUUUACAAUGAUUCUUUUUUCAGGCCAAACAUAAGACUUAGGUGGAUGGGCAGGGAAAGAAAUGUUUUGAGUUCAACUGAAACCUCAAUUUCAAUAAGUUCAUAAGGACAGGAGGGACCUUUGCAUCUGUAGAUUCUACAUUCUUGUUCUAGAUGCGCAGAAUCAAUGGUAAAUUCCAUCUAACCUCACAUAGGAGACAAUAUAUAUAUGAUAGAUAGAUAGAUAGAUAGAUAGAUAGAUAGAUAGAUAGAUAGAUAGAUAGAUAGACAGAUAGAUAGAUCUGCCACUAAAAUAAGAUAAGAUUGUUGAAGUUAAGAAGUGCAUUCUGCCAGGAAGAGGAUAUAGACAUUUCCUGAGAAACACAGCUAGAAUAUGUCAAUUACAUAAGUGAAUGCUUGUGGCAAACCAGUUACUUGUAAAUGGAACUCUUGUUGAUAACUUUUGAGAAAGGAUUACAAGAGGUAAAGGGGUUUGCAAACCCAUAAGAAAAGCAAUGUCAAUGAACCAGAGCUUUCUAGUACUAGACCAAUAUUCAACGAAUGUACAUGGACAUACCUAUGGCUCCCACUGCAUAUUUAGUACCAGAUGGCCUUCUUGGGAACCAACAGAAGUAGAAGCUCUUGGUCCUCCCUAUAUUUGAUUCACAGUUCAUGGGAAUGCAAAGGGGUAGUAAGGGGAUUAUAGUAGAAUGGGAGGUGGACUGGUUAGGGAUCUUAGAGACAGGAAAUUGGAAAAGGAAUAACAUUUGUAAUGUAAAUAUAGAAAUAUCAAAUUUAAAAAAGCUAUAUAUUUUGCUAAAAAAGAAAAAAAUGAAAGAAAUAAAAGAAAAGAAAACUGCCAAUUAAUUACACCCUUUGACUCAGAAAUCUAAAGGGUCACUGUCAGGGAAUGGUAGUCAGAGUAAUACUAGUUCAAAGACGAAGAUGGUGAAAUCUCAAAUAGAAGCAAUUUUCUCUCCCAGAUAUCAGUGUCAGACACAAUCUGCACUCUAGGAAUCCAAAGCACAGAGUAAUUUACUCUGAGCUGAGGACACAAUACUUGUCUUUCCCUUCUUCCUUAGGACCAAAACCAUCAGCUUUAAAGAAAACUGUGCCCUUUCCAACACUUGGCUUUGGAAAAAAGACAUGAAUGAUAUAAAUUCUCCGACUUCCAGGAACCAUAACUAGCAGGGAAGUCCAGAUGCAUCUGAGAGGCUCCCAUCUCCUGAUUACCAUAUUUGGAAGGCUCCAAUCAAUACUAUCUUUUCAGCAAACCUUCUCAACCACUACCCAGAAAUGACUGAGAUUUCCCAUGGACCACAUAUUUCUUUUUUUUUAUAACAAAGCAGAAGGCCAGCUUCCUUCUUCCCAUCUUUGAUCAAUUCAUCCUCUUUUUUCUCCUUCCCAAAGGCUGUUUAUGCUGAAUUAGAGGCCAAAUAGUAAACCCUAGAGGUACUGAAGGACUACUGGAGAGGCAACUUCUGUCAGGACAACACUUGUUACAUCACAGAAGAAACUAGGGAUCUCCAGGAUACAACAGAUUUUUUUAGAUAGGCCUAAUGGUGAUGUCACUGAGAAUUGCCAUGGCCUACCUGCUAAAGUGUUUUCCUUUCAAUGACCAGAUUCGAGGGUGCCCUUGCAAGGGCCAGACGUGAAGGUUUUCGAGGUUUUACCAUGGUUGUUACUUCAGGACAAACAUAAAAUUCAGGAGGAUGUGCAGGGAGAUGAAUGGCUUGAUGUCCAGGGAAACUUCAACUUCAAUAGGUUCAUAAGAACAAGAGGGAGGUGUUUGGAAUUGCCAUUUGUGGAUUCUACAUUCUUGACCUAGGUGUACAUAAUCCAUGUGAAAAUUCCACCUAACCUCAUAGCUGUAGGAGCCACCAAAUGUAUAGUUGGAACCAGAUGUACAUCUUUCCUGAGAGACACAGCUUGAGCAAGUCAAAUACAGAAGAGAAUGCUACUGGCAAACCAGUGAACCAAAAAUGGAUCUCUUGUUGGUAGUUUUUGAGAAAGAAUUACAAGAGCUUAAGGGGAUUUCAAUUCCAUAAGAACAACAAUGCCAGUGAACCAGAGCUUUCUGGUACUAAACCAAUAUUCAAAGACUGUACUUGGACAGACCUAUGUGUCCAACUGCAUAUAUAGCAGUGGAUGGCCUUGUUGGGAACCAAUGGAAGGAGAAGUUCCUGGUCCAACCUAGGUUUAACUCUCAGUUCAAGGUAAUAUCAAGGUUCACUAAGGUAGGUUAUAGAAGAAUGUUAGGGGGACUAGUUACGGGUCUUAUGGACAUGAAACUGGGAAAGAAAAUCAAAUUUGAAAUUCAAAUAUAGAAAUAUCCAAAUAAAAAAAGCAAUAAAAUUUGCUAAAAAUUAAAAAAAAAAUGAAAUAAAUUAAAGAAAAGACAUCUGUCAGCUAAUUACACAUAUUGACUCAGAAAUCUAAAGGUUAACUAUCAGGAAAUGGUAAUCAGAGUAAUACUAGUGGAAAGACUGAGAUGAUGAAGUCUCAACUAGAAGCUCUUCUCUCCCAAAUAUCAGUGUCAGACACAAACUGCACUAUAGGUAUCCAAAGCAUGGAGGCGUUUACACUGAGCUGAGGAGACAAUACUUGUCUAUCCUUUGUUUCUUCGGACCUUUUUCUUCAGGGCAAAAAGAGUGAAAGCCAUGAGCUCUCACUAGAACAACUGUGCCCUUCCCAACAACUGACUUUUGGAAUGAAGAAAAUGAUUAUAUAAACUCUCUGAAUUCCAGAAACCAUAUCAAGCAGGGAAGUCCAGAUGAUAAUGAGAGAAUCCCAGCUCUGGAUUCCCAUGUGUGUAAGGCUCAGAUCAAGGCUAUCUCUUCAGAUACAACACUCAACGCCUACCCAAGACUCACUGAGCUUUCCCAUGGACCAUUUAUUUCUUCCUUUUUUUAUACAAAGAGAGAAGGCCAGCUUCCUUCUCUUUUAUCUCCCUAACAAAUGGCUGUUUAGCCAGAAUAAGAGGUCAAUGAGUUAACCCUAGAGGUCCUCAAAGAAUAUCCAAGAGGCAGUUGCUGUCACCAUGACACUUGUGACAUCACAGAAAAGCUAGAGCUCUUCAGGAUACAAGAGAUAUUUCAGGGAGGACCUAAUGAUGAUGUCACUGAGAACUGCCAUGAUCUAACUGUUGAACAGCUUUCUUUACAUUGACCAGAUUUGAGGGUUCCCUUUCCAAGAGUGUCUCUUGUGACACACUGGAAACCUUUAAAUACUAUAUAUCUCUAAUGCUGGAGACUUCUCUUUGCUUCAUUAGUACGUACAUGUUCGGAAUAGAGAAUGUUGGUCAGGGGCUUGGCAUGGGUAUAAAGAUCUAGGAACAUGGGGUGGAGGAGAU